UGUGAGUUGGACUGGAAGAAUGUCUAUUACAGAUCCUAAUUGAAGUAGCGAUUAUCCAGGCUUGUAUCCUGGGGGCUGAUGAGGAGUAGGGUUUCUGGACAACUUAAACAGAUCCAGAGUUAGUCGAUCCUAAUCUCAAUAAUGGGAGAAAGGGAGUACAGUUGAUAUUCUGUAACUGACAACAGUUCGCGGCAACGCAUACUAUUUUUCUCCGCCAAUCUUAUACCGUUGGUAGGGAUCUCUUUCCUACAUGACAGUACUAAUACCCAGGGAAACUGGUCAUCAGGCGAACUGCGGCGUUCUGCUGGCAAAACAUAGCUUCGGUUAUGUCAAUGGCUAUUGGAUUGGUCCAUGAAGCGAAAAAUAGUUUACUGUGUCACUCGUACCGAUAACCGCAUCAGGUCUUCUAGGUAAGUAGCCUAUGGCCAUUGAGGCAUGAUAGUUCAGGGAAUUCGGCCAAUUAGAGCUGUAACUUCGGGAUAAAGCUUGGCUCUGAUGAAAAUCAGAACCGAUUGUUACGCGGAGAGCCCAACUGUUUAAUAAAAACGUAGUGUCGCGCUGUGGUAGUAUAGCCAGUGAACGCGACAUGAAUCCUGCUCAGUGCUGUGUCUGUUAAUAUGGUUCAAGCCAACGAAGCACCGGUAAAUAGCUGGGGUAACUAUGACUCUUAUCAAAGUAGCGAAAUACCUCGUCACUUAAUUAGUGACCUGCAUGAACGGAGCUAUGAGGUUCUCACUGUCCCAAACUGUCUCUCAGCGAACCAACUGUAGUGGGAACGGUCACUAGAUAUCCAGCGGGGAAAGAAGACCCUGUAGAGCUUCACUUUGGUCUAGUCUUGUAUAGUUCCUGCGGGGGUGUAGACUAGGUGGGAGAGCAAUCGAUUCUGAAAAACCACUACCCUGUUUGGAAUUAUGCUUACCUAUCACAAGGAAUAGGACUAGAUAGAAAGUUGGCUGGGGCGGCAC
RNAcentral lists this non-coding RNA (965 nucleotides) under Trichomonas vaginalis G3. Its description in RNAcentral is "Eukaryotic large subunit ribosomal RNA". It matches the Rfam family "Eukaryotic large subunit ribosomal RNA", at positions 1416 to 2636 of the family's 3401-position model. Lineage: Eukaryota; Parabasalia; Trichomonadida; Trichomonadidae. The record is from Rfam by way of RNAcentral.